CCAGACUCCUACGGGAGGCAGCAGUGGGGAAUCUUCCGCAAUGGGCGAAAGCCUGACGGAGCAACGCCGCGUGAUCGAAUGAAGGCCUUCGGGUUGUAAAGAUCUGUUGACAGGGACGAAUAAGCAAUGCGAAUAGUUUUGUGUAUGACGGUACCUGUUUAGAAAGCUCCGGCUAACUACGUGCCAGCAGCCGCGGUAAUACGUAGGGAGCAAGCGUUGUCCGGAAUUACUGGGCGUAAAGGGCGCGUAGGUGGCGCGUCAAGCGGGACCUCUAACCCCGGGGCUCAACCCCGGGCCGGGUCCCGGACUGGCGCGCUCGAGUGCGGUAGAGGCGAGUGGAAUUCCCGGUGUAGCGGUGGAAUGCGCAGAUAUCGGGAAGAACACCGAUGGCGAAGGCAGCUCGCUGGGCCGACACUGACGCUGAGGCGCGAAAGCUGGGGGAGCGAACAGGAUUAGAUACCCCAGUA
This 467-nucleotide ribosomal RNA is filed under the name uncultured bacterium. Its description in RNAcentral is "bacterial SSU rRNA". It matches the Rfam family "Bacterial small subunit ribosomal RNA", at positions 331 to 792 of the family's 1533-position model. The record is from RNAcentral.